ACUAUCAACAAGUGAAUACAUAGCUUGUUGAGGCAAACCGGGAGAACUGAAACAUCUAAGUACCCCGAGGAAAAGAAAUCAACCGAGAUUUCGUCAGUAGCGGCGAGCGAAAGCGAAAGAGCCAGUAAGUGAUAACAGUAUGGUUAGGAGAAUGUGUUGGGAAGCACAAUCAAAGAGGGUGAUAAUCCCGUAUCUAAAAACUAUAUUGUGGUACUAAGCUAACGAGAAGUAGGGCGGGACACGUGAUAUCCUGUUUGAAGAAGGGGGGACCAUCCUCCAAGGCUAAAUACUCCUGAUUGACCGAUAGUGAACCAGUACUGUGAAGGAAAGGCGAAAAGAACCCCGGUGAGGGGAGUGAAAUAGAACCUGAAACCUUGUACGUACAAGCAGUGGGAGCCCGAAAGGGUGACUGCGUACCUUUUGUAUAAUGGGUCAGCGACUUAUAUUUUGUAGCGAGGUUAACCGAAUAGGGGAGCCGAAGGGAAACCGAGUCUUAACUGGGCGACUAGUUGCAAGGUAUAGACCCGAAACCCGGUGAUCUAGCCAUGGGCAGGUUGAAGGUUGGGUAACACUAACUGGAGGACCGAACCGACUAAUGUUGAAAAAUUAGCGGAUGACUUGUGGCUGGGGGUGAAAGGCCAAUCAAACCGGGAGAUAGCUGGUUCUCCCCGAAAUCUAUUUAGGUAGAGCCUUGAGGUGACACCUUUGGGGGUAGAGCACUGUUUCGGCUAGGGGUCCAUCCCGGAUUACCAACCCGAUGCAAACUACGAAUACCAAAGAGUGAUACUCAGGAGACACACGGCGGGUGCUAACGUCCGUCGUGGAGAGGGAAACAACCCAGACCGCCAGCUAAGGUCCCCAAGUCUAUAUUAAGUGGGAAACGAAGUGGGAAGGCUUAGACAGCUAGGAUGUUGGCUUAGAAGCAGCCAUCAUUUAAAGAAAGCGUAAUAGCUCACUAGUCGAGUCGGCCUGCGCGGAAGAUGUAACGGGGCUGAAAUAUAGCACCGAAGCUGCGGCAUCAGGCGUAAGUCUGUUGGGUAGGGGAGCGUUCUGUAAGCGGAUGAAGGUUAAUCGAGAGGUUAGCUGGACGUAUCAGAAGUGCGAAUGCUGACAUAAGUAACGAUAAAACGGGUGAAAAACCCGUUCGCCGGAAGACCAAGGGUUCCUGUCCAACGUUAAUCGGGGCAGGGUGAGUCGGCCCCUAAGGCGAGGCUGAAAAGCGUAGUCGAUGGGAAACAGGUUAAUAUUCCUGUACUUGGUAAAGCUGCGAUGUGGGGACGGAGUAGGUUAGGUUAUCGCACUGUUGGAUAUGUGCGUUUAAGUUGGUAGGUGGGAAGUUUAGGCAAAUCCGGACUUCUAUUAAACACUGAGAGAUGAUGACGAGGCUCUAAGGAGCUGAAGUAACUGAUACCACACUUCCAGGAAAAGCCACUAAGCGACAGGCUUUACUAAACCGUACUGAAAACCGACACAGGUGGUCAGGUAGAGAAUACUCAGGCGCUUGAGAGAACUCGGGUGAAGGAACUAGGCAAAAUAGCACCGUAACUUCGGGAGAAGGUGCGCCGGCGUAGAUUGUAAGGGCUAGCCCCUGAAGGUUGAACCGGUCGAAGAUACCAGCUGGCUGCAACUGUUUAUUAAAAACACAGCACUCUGCAAACACGAAAGUGGAGGUAUAGGGUGUGAUGCCUGCCCGGUGCUGGAAGGUUAAUUGAUGGUGUAAUCGCAAGAGAAGCACCUGAUCGAAGCCCCAGUAAACGGCGGCCGUAACUAUAACGGUCCUAAGGUAGCGAAAUUCCUUGUCGGGUAAGUUCCGACCUGCACGAAUGGCAUAAUGAUGGCCAGGCUGUCUCCACCCGAGACUCAGUGAAAUUGAAAUCGCCGUGAAGAUGCGGUGUACCCGCGGCUAGACGGAAAGACCCCGUGAACCUUUACUAUAGCUUGACACUGAACAUUGAAUUUUGAUGUGUAGGAUAGGUGGGAGACUUAGAAGUAGGAACGCCAGUUUCUAUGGAGUCAUCCUUGAAAUACCACCCUUUAACGUUUGAUGUUCUAACGAAGAUUGCGGAACGCGGUCUCGGACAGUGUCUGGUGGGUAGUUUGACUGGGGCGGUCUCCUCCCAAAGCGUAACGGAGGAGCACGAAGGUUUGCUAAUCACGGUCGGACAUCGUGAGGUUAGUGCAAUGGUAUAAGCAAGCUUAACUGCGAG
This 2207-nucleotide ribosomal RNA is filed under the name Haemophilus influenzae. RNAcentral's name for it is "bacterial LSU rRNA". It matches the Rfam family "Bacterial large subunit ribosomal RNA", at positions 147 to 2379 of the family's 2925-position model. Lineage: Bacteria; Pseudomonadati; Pseudomonadota; Gammaproteobacteria; Pasteurellales; Pasteurellaceae. The record is from RNAcentral.